GAUGAACGCUGGCGGCGUGCCUAACACAUGCAAGUCGAGCGAUUCUCUUCGGAGAAGAGCGGCGGACGGGUGAGUAACGCGUGGGUAACCUGCCCUGUACACACGGAUAACAUACCGAAAGGUAUGCUAAUACGAGAUAAUAUGCUUUUAUCGCAUGGUAGAAGUAUCAAAGCUUUUGCGGUACAGGAUGGACCCGCGUCUGAUUAGCUAGUUGGUAAGGUAACGGCUUACCAAGGCGACGAUCAGUAGCCGACCUGAGAGGGUGAUCGGCCACAUUGGAACUGAGACACGGUCCAAACUCCUACGGGAGGCAGCAGUGGGGAAUAUUGCACAAUGGGCGAAAGCCUGAUGCAGCAACGCCGCGUGAGCGAUGAAGGCCUUCGGGUCGUAAAGUUCUGUCCUCAAGGAAGAUAAUGGCGGUACUUGAGGAGGAAGCCCCGGCUAACUACGUG
Molecule: ribosomal RNA, 452 nt
Filed under: uncultured bacterium
Lineage: Bacteria
Description: partial 16S ribosomal RNA
Rfam family: Bacterial small subunit ribosomal RNA
Source: RNAcentral